RNAcentral lists this ribosomal RNA (492 nucleotides) under uncultured bacterium. Its description in RNAcentral is "partial 16S ribosomal RNA". It matches the Rfam family "Bacterial small subunit ribosomal RNA", at positions 29 to 507 of the family's 1533-position model. The record is from RNAcentral.
ACGAACGCUGGCGGCGUGCUUAACACAUGCAAGUCGAACGGUGAAGGGACCGGUUUUUGCUGGUUCUGGAUGAGUGGCGAACGGGUGAGUAACACGUGAGUAACCUGCCCCCUUCUUCUGGAUAACCGCAUGAAAGUGUGGCUAAUACGGGAUAUUCUGCGCCUGCUGCAUGGUGGGUGUGGGAAAGAUAUUGUUUCGGUGGGGGAUGGGCUCGCGGCCUAUCAGCUUGUUGGUGGGGUGAUGGCCUACCAAGGCGGUGACGGGUAGCCGGCCUGAGAGGGUGGACGGUCACACUGGGACUGAGACACGGCCCAGACUCCUACGGGAGGCAGCAGUGGGGAAUAUUGCACAAUGGGCGCAAGCCUGAUGCAGCGACGCCGCGUGAGGGAUGGAGGCCUUCGGGUUGUAAACCUCUUUCGCCAGUGAAGCAGGCCUGUCCCUUUUGUGGGUGGGUUGACGGUAGCUGGAGAAGAAGCGCCGGCUAACUACGUG